This 253-nucleotide ribosomal RNA is filed under the name uncultured bacterium. RNAcentral describes it as "partial 16S ribosomal RNA". It matches the Rfam family "Bacterial small subunit ribosomal RNA", at positions 524 to 776 of the family's 1533-position model. The record is from RNAcentral.
UACGGGGGGGGCAAGCGUUGUUCGGAAUCACUGGGCGUAAAGGGAGCGUAGGCGGGUUUCUAAGUCAGGUGUUUAAUCCCGGGGCCCAACCCCGGACAGGCACUUGAAACUGGGAAUCUUGAAUAGUGGAGAGGUCAGUGGAAUUGGGGGUGUAGCGGUGGAAUGCGUAGAGAUCCCCAAGAACACCAGUUGCGAAGGCGGCUGACUGGACACAUAUUGACGCUGAGGCUCGAAAGCAUGGGGAGCAAACAGG